Physcomitrium patens is the source of this 1881-nucleotide non-coding RNA. NCBI's taxonomy places the organism in Eukaryota, Viridiplantae, Streptophyta, Bryopsida, Funariales, Funariaceae. The record is from RefSeq and is a predicted model, not a curated record.
CGUUUGGAGCCCUUCGGACACCUGCAGUUUUUCUCGCUCGCUUGCUCGCCCUUGACCGCGGUAUGGUCCAUGUCUACCUACGUGGAGGAAGGAUGCAGACUGUGGAUCCGUUUUUACCUCGCUCUCUUCAAUGUCUCCCUAGUUUGUGUUUUCUCUAGACUGGUGCUUGCUGAAUCUGGUCGUCGAGCAGACUUUUGGAGAUCCUAUGGGUUGGUGGAACACACUCCGAGUUUCUGCGUGUGGUCUGCUUCUUCCAUUCAUCACUACCCUCUUCAACGUUUUGUAGGACUUUCGUGGUUUGGAGGAAUUCGGGGUCGCUGUCGCUUGCAGGUGGUUGCAAAGGAGGCAAUGUCGGAGAUUUGUGCAUGAUGGAUUUAGUAUUUCCAGGGGAUGACGUGGCGCUGGCUGUGGAGGAUUUUCCUUUGCUGUCCGUUUCUGUUACUGUUGCCGAUAAAUGUCUCUGUGGUUGUGAAUGGACAAUCAUCCCCCACAGUUUUAAUAUUGGAUUCAUAGCCAAUGAUGGGGUUCGACGAAGGUAUAUUUUAAAAAAGAAAGACUUUUGCAUUACAUUCAAAGCCUGCAAGACUAUAAGUUUGCGUGACAAAGCGCGAUAUACGAGCAAGGAAGUUCAAAACAAGCACAGCGCAGAUGACAGGGUUGGCAAUGCCUUCCAUCUUCGGCACCCGAUGUGAGCAUAUCGACUGGCCGCCUCAGGUCACCAAACGUCAAGAAUAAUCAGACACAAGCUUCGAGCUCCUCUUCAAACUGCUUUUGAAAGACAUCAUCGUCAGUUGAAUCGGUGCCCAUGUCUGAAAAAACAGACGUGCAUCCAUUCCGGUUCGUACGUCGCUCACUCAAACUGAGUGCCUAUUUGCAGGAGCGAUGUGUUUGCAGGAAGCUCUGCUGCAGGGUCUCGCAUCAGAUGUGAAGCACGAUGACACUAUUUAGACUCAGCAUCCUCGUAUGCUGUUUUAAGGUAUGCACUGGGCGGAUCGAGCGACAUCGUUGUCGGUACCUGAGCUAUCAGACUGAACUUAAAGUCGCCAGGCUCCACUACCUUAGAUCGGUCUUGAGAAUGUGCGGGCAAAGGUGUGGGGUGAUGCACUAACUUGAGGGAGCGGUGGGUAAGUUUGGUAUGUAUGGCACUGCGGUGGAUUUGUGCUGGAGAUUAUCAACAUGACUGCGUGGUUCCCAGUGCAGAAAAACCGUUAAACGGCAUUCUAAUAAGACCUUCCUUUGGGGAUGGGGGAUGGUUCAACGACAUAUUAAAGCUGGAGCUUUGGUGGAGCUUCUGUUCCUGACAGAUCCUUCCAGAACAAUACUGCUCAUCAAUGCCUCUGCGUCGGCAUUCAAUGAUUCAGUCUGCGGCAGCAUGAAUGUGGGGAGCUGCCGUUCUCAUCGUCCGUUAGUGAUUAGGCUGCGGCGUCGUCAACCCCUUUCGGCUCCCACAGUGAUGAGCUCACGUUGCCAUUUAGACUCUUUUAUUUUGUUUUUUGUUUUUAUUUUUUAUUUUUAUUUUAUUCUUCUGUUCUCCCACUUUCCCGCUUACCUGUUUUGAUUCAGUUCAAAGUUUGCAUUAAAAACAAAAACAAAACGGUUUGGAAAAUGCAGCAGGCCGGGAUCCAUCUUCAUUUCUUUAUACAAACGGUAUGAAAUAUGAAUUAGUCUGGAAACAAAUUAAGCAUCUUGACAUGGCUCUGUGUAUUGUCAUUAUUGUAGAUGGGUGGUCUGUUGCUCUGUAAUCAAGCGCGACAUGGAAUUAUACUGGAAUUUUCAUACUGCUACUGGAUGAGUUACAAAAAGUACCAGAAGUUAAUGCAGUAGUUCUUGAUUGAACCAUUGCGAUUGAAAUUUCUGUAAAAGUUUGUUUUUAAUGCACCA